GUGGGGAAUAUUGGACAAUGGGCGAAAGCCUGAUCCAGCCAUGCCGCGUGUGUGAAGAAGGUCUUCGGAUUGUAAAGCACUUUAAGUUGGGAGGAAGGGCAGUAAGUUAAUACCUUGCUGUUUUGACGUUACCGACAGAAUAAGCACCGGCUAACUUCGUGCCAGCAGCCGCGGUAAUACGAAGGGUGCAAGCGUUAAUCGGAAUUACUGGGCGUAAAGCGCGCGUAGGUGGUUUUGUAAGUUGGAGGUGAAAUCCCCGGGCUCAACCUGGGAACUGCCUCCAAAACUGCAUGACUAGAGUACGGUAGAGGGUAGUGGAAUUUCCUGUGUAGCGGUGAAAUGCGCAGAUAUAGGAAGGAACACCAGUGGCGAAGGCGACUACCUGGACUGAUACUGACACUGAGGUGCGAAAGCGUGGGGAGCAAACAGGAUUAGAAACCCCUGUAGUCC
This 450-nucleotide ribosomal RNA is filed under the name uncultured bacterium. RNAcentral's name for it is "partial 16S ribosomal RNA". It matches the Rfam family "Bacterial small subunit ribosomal RNA", at positions 354 to 796 of the family's 1533-position model. The record is from RNAcentral.